GGGGUGGGGAUGGGUAGGGGAAGAAGGUGAGGAGGUGCUUUGACCAGGAAAAGAGCUGAGAAUGUGUGGAAACAGGCCUCCGAAGGAAUGGAAGGGAAAAAUACUUGGGACCACAAUUGCAGACAGAAUACGAUGGAGUUGCUCUUUCUUGCCCAUGAGUUUAAUGACAAGGUUCCUCCCCUUUGGAUGCCAGCUAAGCAGGAGCCGGCAGGGCAUCCCCUGACUCUGCAGCCCAGCCAGGCCUGGAAUCUGCCCCAGACACAAUCACAGGUAUUCCCAAGGCUUGAAGUCCAUCCAGAGACUCGUCAUUUGAUGCAAUUGCCUGUGGUCUGAAAAACAAACUCCCACCCAAACAUAUCGUACCUGGGGAGACUGCAAUCUCAAUGAUCAUGUCUCCCAGGACUCAGGCCCGCUCUGACCACAGGAUCUUUCUAAAGGCAUGACCGACAGAAGUGUGCACAAUUCCACCAUGUAAUUUUUGUCUGGGAGGUAAAAUACCUCUGUCGUUACAUCAUUUUCCUUAGCGUAGCGAUCCCUUAAGAGAAGAAAGCCUGACCAAGAUCCCUUCUCAAAGUCAACCAUGGAAAUAACCUUUUAAUAUUCUCUCCUGUCUUCCGUGACCUUGUACGGCUUUCACACACAAUUUCUCAUUUUAUCCUCAAAACAACGCAUCGAGACCCGCAUCGUGCACACCCGUUCAGCUCAGCCAGCGUUUACCUGCCCACUACUGCACAGCCCAGGGCUUCAUGGCCUACCAGGCACAAGCACAUGGGCCCCUCUGGAGGAAGGUGAUGAAUCAGCAAGAGCCUGAGGAAAGAGGUGAUGAAUCUCAAAUCACCUACCCGCGUGGUUGGCUGAGGGCAAGUUGGGGCAACGGACAGACAAGCAGCCAACCAUAACCAGAGACAGAGGAGGUAGGUCCUGUAUCAGUGAUAAUGUCAGAGUUGGCCUUGAAGAACUUGUGGAAUUUUGAGAUGUAAGGAAGGGAUGGUGCAGGGGUGGGCCAGCCCGGGAAGAGGAGACAUCUUGGAAGACGAUUAGGAUGUAGAUGAAAAAACUCAUGGUCCUUUCCAGUUCCACCGCCAUAGCCCCCAUCACUGAUCCUUGUCCCCUGGAACAUCUCACCUGUGCAGCCCUCUUUGACAUCUCUACCACCCCCUCCAUUCUGGGGGAUCUCAGCAGGAGACAAUGUGUGUGAAAGCACAGUUUUUUCCACUAUGGUUGCUAUUCAUAAAACUGCCCGGAGAUAGACAGGCGUGGGAAGCAAAGGCCAGAGGGAUUAAAGAAUUUGCCAGGGCUUCCCUGGUGGCGCAGUGGUUGGGGGUCCGCCUGCCAAUGCAGGGGACGCGGGUUCGUGCCCCGGUCUGGGAGGAUCCCACAUGCCGCGGAGUGGCUGGGCCCGUGAGCCAUGGCCGCUGAGCCUGCGCGUCCGGAGCCUGUGCUCCGCGACGGGAGAGGCCACGGCAGUGAGAGGCCCGCGUACCGCCAAAAAAAAAAAAAAAAAAAAAAAUUUGCCCAGCUGGUGAGGAAGGGAGUCAGGAAGCUAACCCGGGUCCCCCCCAUCCCCACCAGCUGUCAAAUAAGGUAGAUGGUGUCUGGCUUGGGUUUAUAGACCCCUAAGUGAGAUCACCCUGGUUUCAAUCCCAGUUCUGACAUCACUGUGUGACCGUGAGCAAAGUACUUAACCUCUCUGUGCCUCCAUUUCCAUAGGUACAAAAUGGGGUAAUAAUCCUUACACCAGAGCCAUCGGGCAGAUUAAAAAGGAUCCCGCCUGUAAAACGUUUAGUAUAGUGCCUGGAACACAGGAAAUAUUUAAGCAUUCAUUCGCCGCUGUUAUCUCCUAUCACCGAUAUUUAUUGUUCCCACCGACUGUCUCUCAUUCGGUACCUGAAUUUUAGAGUCUGGUAGUUGGCUGGAGACCACGUCUCAACCUUUUCCUUAAUCCCACUAUCCUCAGAAAAGCUGCUCUCACUGCAUUUGCAGACUUCACACGAAUUCUCUCAGCCUGCUUGUGCCAUCCCUCAGUGUGGUGCUUUGGAAUCCUUCUGUUAGCACAGCUGUGUCUGGGGUCUGGGAAAGCUCUGAGGACCCCGGGGGUGGGAGAUGCACAUGAGAGAGGGUCUGUCGAGCAAGUGGAGGUGAGGGGUAUGUAAGCAGCCUCCCAUCCUGUUCCCACAUCCCAGAAAAGCACUCCGUCUGGCAGGCCGGCACCCCUUCUCUUCCUGUGUGCUACCCUGGGCUGGCCCAGACAAAGAGCUUGUCUGCACCUUGGCUUAGAUGGGCUUUCUUGCAAGCUCACCCACAGGGGAACAUGAGAGCUGCAUGCUCACUGAAUCCUAGACCCUCCUGGCCUCACUCCUGGGGCCAGGUCCCCUCCAUCCCUGACAGGUUCAUCCAGGGACUGGGUCGUAACCAGGAGGAAGUUCGGGGCCUCCUGGGACUUCCACCCACAGAUUCCCAGCUCUCCUCCUGCAGAAACCCAGCCCCGUCUUCCUUCCAUGAGCACCAAAGGUGGGUCCCACACUUCUGGAAUCUUGAGUGAAGCUCAUGUGCCCCAUCCUCUUAUUGUUCAGAUGAGAAGGCAAAGGGCCGAGGCUGGAACUCAGAACCAGCCCUUUCCCCCUGCAUCAGUGGCUCCCAACUUCCUUCCACGUUAGAAUCACCUGGGACCUUUCAGAAGCUCCAAAGUCACAGCCACAUGCCAGACCAGGGAAAUCACGCUCUCUGGAGUUGGGCAGCAUUACAGUUGUGUUUGCUGUAAUUAUCUACAAGCGGGGAAAGAGGCGCUCGGGGCAUAGGCAGUUGCCCUAGAUCACCAGGCUGCUAAGCGAUGUGACUCCAAAGGCUGCAGUCUUGGCACACACCACGCUGCAUCCCCAGUUUCUCCCGGCCCUGAGUAGGACGCAGGAAGUCCGGGAGCCACGCUCAGGGAACAACCUUCAAGUUCAACACGGCACGCCAGCUCUCUGCCCGGCAGAGGAAGGCCCAGCAA
Physeter macrocephalus (sperm whale) is the source of this 2992-nucleotide long non-coding RNA. RefSeq lists it as uncharacterized. Lineage: Eukaryota; Metazoa; Chordata; Mammalia; Artiodactyla; Physeteridae. The transcript has 3 exons. The record is from RefSeq and is a predicted model, not a curated record.